ACGCUCGACACCUACGGGAGGUAGCAGUGGGGAAUAUUGCACAAUGGGGGAAACCCUGAUGCAGCGACGCCGCGUGAGCGAAGAAGUAUUUCGGUAUGUAAAGCUCUAUCAGCAGGGAAGAAACUGACGGUACCUGACUAAGAAGCACCGGCUAAAUACGUGCCAGCAGCGCGGUAAUCUGAGGCGGGCUGGACAAGGC
RNAcentral lists this ribosomal RNA (199 nucleotides) under uncultured bacterium. RNAcentral's name for it is "partial 16S ribosomal RNA". It matches the Rfam family "Bacterial small subunit ribosomal RNA", at positions 328 to 538 of the family's 1533-position model. The record is from RNAcentral.